This 163-nucleotide ribosomal RNA is filed under the name Amomum trilobum. Its description in RNAcentral is "5.8S ribosomal RNA". It matches the Rfam family "5.8S ribosomal RNA". Rfam says of the family: 5.8S ribosomal RNA (5.8S rRNA) is a component of the large subunit of the eukaryotic ribosome. It is transcribed by RNA polymerase I as part of the 45S precursor that also contains 18S and 28S rRNA. The record is from RNAcentral. Lineage: Eukaryota; Viridiplantae; Streptophyta; Magnoliopsida; Zingiberales; Zingiberaceae.
AAUGACUCUCGGCAAUGGAUAUCUCGGCUCUUGCAUCGAUGAAGAACGUAGUGAAAUGCGAUACUUGGUGUGAAUUGCAGAAUCUCGUGAACCAUUGAGUCUUUGAACGCAAGUUGUGCCCGAGGCCUUGUGGUCGAGGGCACGCCUGCUUGGGCGUCAUGGC